RNAcentral lists this ribosomal RNA (467 nucleotides) under uncultured bacterium. Its description in RNAcentral is "partial 16S ribosomal RNA". It matches the Rfam family "Bacterial small subunit ribosomal RNA", at positions 28 to 507 of the family's 1533-position model. The record is from RNAcentral.
GAUGAACGCUGGCGGCGCGCCUAACACAUGCAAGUCGAACGAUUAAAGCACCUUCGGGUGUGUAUAAAUUGGCGAACGGCUGAGUAACACGUGGGCAACCUGCCCCUCUCAUUGGGAUAGCCACGGGAAACCGUGGAUAAUACCGAAUACUUCGGGACUUCCGCAUGGAAGACUCGAGAAAGCUCCGGCGGAGAGGGAUGGGCCCGCGGCCUGUUAGCUUGUUGGUGGGGUAAUGGCCUACCAAGGCAAUGAUGGGUAGCUGGGUUGAGAGACCGACCAGCCAGAUUGGGACUGAGACACGGCCCAGACUCCUACGGGAGGCAGCAGUGGGGAAUCUUGCACAAUGGGCGAAAGCCUGAUGCAGCGACGCCGCGUGCGGGAUGAAGGCCUUCGGGUUGUAAACCGCUUUCAGCAGGGACGAGGCGAAAGUGACGGUACCUGCAGAAGAAGCCCCGGCUAACUACGUG